This 1575-nucleotide ribosomal RNA is filed under the name Clostridioides difficile. RNAcentral describes it as "partial 23S ribosomal RNA". It matches the Rfam family "Bacterial large subunit ribosomal RNA", at positions 393 to 1752 of the family's 2925-position model. Lineage: Bacteria; Bacillati; Bacillota; Clostridia; Peptostreptococcales; Peptostreptococcaceae. The record is from RNAcentral.
UUAAUAAACGAGAGGGAAAGUAUCACCGGGCACGAGUAACCCGGUGUGAAGAUAGGGGGCCCAUCCCCUAAGGCUAAAUACUAACAUGUGACCGAUAGUGAACAAGUACCGUGAGGGAAAGGUGAAAAGAACCCCGAAAGGGGAGUGAAAUAGAACCUGAAACCUAGUGCCUACAAGCAGACAGAGCGUGAGCGAACGUGAUGUCGUACCUUUUGUAGAAUGGGCCAGCGAGUUAUUCUAAAUUGCAAGGUUAAUGAUUUAAGAUCAGAAGCCGUAGCGAAAGCGAGUCUUAAUAGGGCGAAAGUAAGUUAGAAUAGACCCGAAACCGGGUGAUCUAUCCAUGGUCAGAGUGAAGUUGAAGUAAAAUUCAAUGGAGGCUCGAACCGGGUGCGGUUUAAAACGCAUCGGAUGAACUGUGGAUAGGGGCGAAAAACCAAACGAACCCGGAGAUAGCUGGUUCUCCUCGAAAUAGCUUUAGGGCUAGCCUCUGACCUAAGAUUUUAGGAGGUAGAGCACUGAAUGGUCUAGGGCGGGUUACCGUACCAAAACCUAUCAAACUCCGAAUGCCAAAAAAUCAAGUCAGGGAGUCAGACUUAGGGGGAUAAGCUUCUAAGUCGAAAGGGAAACAGCCCAGACCGACAGCUAAGGUCCCAAAAUUUGAAUUAAGUGGAAAAGGAUGUGAAUCUACUAAGACAACCAGGACGUUGGCUUAGAAGCAGCCAUGCAUUUAAAGAAUGCGUAAUAGCUCACUGGUCAAGUGGGUUUGCGCCGAAAAUGAACGGGGCUCAAAUUCAAUACCGAAGCUUCGGAUUAAUAGAGGGAUUAAGUUUACAAAUGAGACUAGGAAAUAUUUAACAAAAACAGAAGAGAUUAAAAAGAAAAACAAAUUUCAGACGCAGACAUAAAAGAUAGGAUAUUAAAAAGAAAUAUUCAAAAAACACAAGUCUAAAGUCAAAAGUGAGUAACAUAAGAAAUUAUGAACUAACAAUCACUGGUUAAGAGUUAAAAACUAGGACUCAUAGCUAAACUUAAUACCUCUAUUAGUGGUAGAGGAGCAUUGUAUUAGAGACGAAGCCAAGGCGAAAGCAAAAGUGGAUCUAAUACAAGAGAGAAUGCUGGCAUGAGUAGCGAGAAGGGAUGUGAGAAUCAUCCCCGUCGAAACCCUAAGGACUCCUGAGCAAGGCUCGUCCCCUCAGGGAAAGUCGGGACCUAAGCCAAGGCCGAAAGGCGUAGGCGAUGGAUAACAGGUUUAUAUUCCUGUACCGCUUGAAGUCGUUAAGAGAGAAGUGAUGACGCAAAAGGAUAAGCAAAGCCAUCAGAUGGAAAAGAUGGUCUAAAGCCGUAGGAAGAAAAGUAGGCAAAUCCGCUUUUCACAAAUUCUAAAAGCCGAUAGGUAUCGAAAACAUAAGUAGAGAAGUUGCCGAUUCCAGGUUGCCAAGAAAAGUCACUAUCCAGACCAAAGCGCCCGUACCAAAACCGACACAGGUAGGGAGGUAGAGAAUACCAAGACGCGCGGAAGAACCUUUGUUAAGGAACUCGGCAAAAUGUCCCCGUAACUUCGGGAGAAGGGGAGCC